UGCCGGGGCAAUAAAAGCUCUGAGUUUUGUUAGCUCCAGAGUUUUGUUGCCCUGGCUCU
RNAcentral lists this microRNA precursor (59 nucleotides) under Branchiostoma lanceolatum (amphioxus). RNAcentral describes it as "Bla-Mir-4872-P17_pre stem-loop". The record is from RNAcentral. Lineage: Eukaryota; Metazoa; Chordata; Leptocardii; Amphioxiformes; Branchiostomatidae.